AUGAGAUUCCCUAGCAAGAGCAGACUGGCAGAGCUCCACAAAUUUGGAAACUUCAACUUGCUGGGGACCAAUGCUGUGAUCAAUGUAGACAGUUGGACCUUUGACACUCAGGCUAUUGGCAAAUUACACACAGUGUGGGUACAGUUUGGGAAAAUUCCUGAGUGCUUUAGGCAUUUCUUUGGGAUGUGUGAGGUGGCUGCUUUUGUUGGUCCUGUUUUAGAAAUUGAUAUGACCACUAUCCUGAAAGAAAAAAUCAGGGCUAAAGUGGGAGUAAGAGACUAUGAAAAAAUCCCCCACCAUACUGAGAUUACUGACAAGGACCUGAUGAUCUACAGAUCAAUAUAG
RNAcentral lists this ribosomal RNA (345 nucleotides) under Triticum aestivum (bread wheat). Its description in RNAcentral is "partial small subunit ribosomal RNA". The record is from RNAcentral. Lineage: Eukaryota; Viridiplantae; Streptophyta; Magnoliopsida; Poales; Poaceae.